This 397-nucleotide ribosomal RNA is filed under the name uncultured bacterium. RNAcentral describes it as "partial 16S ribosomal RNA". It matches the Rfam family "Bacterial small subunit ribosomal RNA", at positions 523 to 918 of the family's 1533-position model. The record is from RNAcentral.
AUACGUAGGGGGCGAGCCUUGUCCGGAAUGAUUGGGCGUAAAGGGCGCGUAGGCGGCCCGGUAAGUCUGGAGUGAAAGUCCUGUUUUUAAGAUGGGAAUUGCUUUGGAUACUGUCGGGCUUGAGUGCAGGAGAGGUAAGUGGAAUUCCCAGUGUAGCGGUGAAAUGCGUAGAGAUUUGGAGGAACACCAGUGGCGAAGGCGACUUACUGGACUGUAACUGACGCUGAGGCGCGAAAGUGUGGGGAGCAAACAGGAUUAGAUACCCUGGUAGUCCACACUGUAAACGAUGAAUGCUAGGUGUAGGGGGUAUCGACCCCUUCUGUGCCGCAGUCAACACAAUAAGCAUUCCGCCUGGGGAGUACGGCCGCAAGGUUGAAACUCAAAUGAAUUGGCGGGG